UUCCGGUUGAUCCCGCCGGACCUGACUGCUAUCGGAUUGAUACUAAGCCAUGCGAGUCUUUGCAGUAAUGCAAGGCGGACUGCUCAGUAACACGUAGUCAACUUAACCUAUGGAUGGGUAUAACCUCGGGAAACUGAGAAUAAUUCCCAAUAGAUCAUUUAUCCUGGAAUGGUUGAUGAUUGAAAUGAUUCGUCGCCAUAGGAUGGGACUGCGGCCUAUCAGCUUGUUGGUGAGGUAAAGGCCCACCAAGGCUAUUACAGGUACGGGCUCUGAGAGGAGAAGCCCGGAGAUGGGUACUGAGACACGGACCCAGGCCCUAUGGGGCGCAGCAGGCGAGAAAACUUUGCAAUGUGCGAAAGCACGACAAGGUUAAUCCGAGUGAUUUCUGCUAAAGGAAUCUUUUACCAGUUCUAAAAAUACUGGCGAAUAAGGGGUGGGCAAGUUCUGGUGUCAGCCGCCGCGGUAAAACCAGCACCUCAAGUGGUCAGGAGGAUUAUUGGGCCUAAAGCAUCCGUAGCCGGCUCUGUUAGUUUUCGGUUAAAUCCAUAUGCUCAACAUAUGGGCUGUCGGAAAUACUGCAGAGCUAGGGAAUGGGAGAGGUAGACGGUACUCGGUAGGAAGGGGUAAAAUCCUUUGAUCUAUCGAUGACCACCUGUGGCGAAGGCGGUCUACCAGAACAUGUUCGACGGUGAGGGAUGAAAGCUGGGGGAGCAAACCGGAUUAGAUACCCGGGUAGUCCCAGCUGUAAACGAUGCAGACUAGAUGAUGCAUUGGCAUAUAGCCAGUGCAGUGUCGCAGGGAAGCCGUUAAGUCUGCCGCCUGGGAAGUACGUACGCAAGUAUGAAACUUAAAGGAAUUGGCGGGGGAGCACCACAAGGGGUGAAGCCUGCGGUUCAAUUGGAGUCAACGCCGG
Molecule: ribosomal RNA, 913 nt
Filed under: uncultured archaeon
Lineage: Archaea
Description: bacterial SSU rRNA
Rfam family: Archaeal small subunit ribosomal RNA
Source: RNAcentral